CCCUUAGAGUUUGAUCCUGGCUCAGAACGAACGCUGGCGGCGUGGAUAAGACAUGCAAGUCGAACGGGAUUACUUCUGUAGCAAUACAGGAGUAAUUUAGUGGCGAACGGGUGCGUAACACGUGGGCAAUCUGCCGAGAAGUGGGGGAUAGCUCGCCGAAAGGCGAAUUAAUACCGCAUAUGAUCAGGGACGACAUCUUCCCAACAUCAAAGCCGGGGUAACCUGGCGCUUCUUGAUGAGCCCGCGGCCUAUCAGCUAGUUGGUGAGGUAACGGCUCACCAAGGCUAUGACGGGUAGCUGGUCUGAGAGGACGACCAGUCACACUGGAACUGAGACACGGUCCAGACACCUACGGGUGGCAGCAGUCGAGAAUUUUUCUCAAUGGGGGAAACCCUGAAGGAGCGACGCCGCGUGGAGGAUGAAGGCUUUCGGGUUGUAAACUCCUGUCAUUUGGGAACAAGGCUAUUCGGUUAACUGCCGAGUAGUUGAUAGUACCAGAAGAGGAAGAGACGGCUAACUCUGUGCCAGCAGCCGCGGUAAUACAGAGGUCUCAAGCGUUGUUCGGAUUCAUUGGGCGUAAAGGGUGCGUAGGUGGCGCCGUAAGUCAGGUGUGAAAUUUCGGAGCUCAACUCCGAAACUGCAUUUGAUACUGCGGUGCUUGAGGACUGGAGAGGAGACUGGAAUUCACGGUGUAGCAGUGAAAUGCGUAGAUAUCGUGAGGAAGACCAGUGGCGAAGCGGGUCUCUGGACAGUUCCUGACACUGAGCACGAAGCCAGGGAGCAACGGGAUAGAUACCCCGGUAGUCCUGGCAG
This 813-nucleotide ribosomal RNA is filed under the name uncultured bacterium. RNAcentral's name for it is "bacterial SSU rRNA". It matches the Rfam family "Bacterial small subunit ribosomal RNA", at positions 1 to 802 of the family's 1533-position model. The record is from RNAcentral.